This 433-nucleotide ribosomal RNA is filed under the name uncultured bacterium. RNAcentral's name for it is "partial 16S ribosomal RNA". It matches the Rfam family "Bacterial small subunit ribosomal RNA", at positions 29 to 507 of the family's 1533-position model. The record is from RNAcentral.
AACGAACGCUGGCGGCAUGCCUAACACAUGCAAGUCGAACGAGACCUUCGGGUCUAGUGGCGCACGGGUGCGUAACGCGUGGGAACCUGCCUUUAGGUUCGGAAUAACUCAGAGAAAUUUGAGCUAAUACCGGAUGAUGUCUUCGGACCAAAGAUUUAUCGCCGUUAGAUGGGCCCACGUUGGAUUAGCUAGUUGGUGGGGUAAAGGCCUACCAAGGCGACGAUCCAUAGCUGGUCUGAGAGGAUGAUCAGCCACACUGGGACUGGGACACGGCCCAGACUCCUACGGGAGGAAGCGGUGGGGAAUAUUGGACGAUGGGCGAAAGCCUGAUCCAGCAAUGCCGCGUGAGUGAUGAAGGCCUUAGGGUUGUAAAGCUCUUUUACCCGAGAUGAUAAUGACAGUAUCGGGAGAAUAAGCUCCGGCUAACUCCGUG